GUCCCUGUCGAUUAGUGGUUAAAUCAUCACGUUGUGGUCACGAGGUCUUAACUCGUCGCAAAUCCGUGAAGCCAGCGGCUCGAAUCCGCUCAGGGACA
Molecule: non-coding RNA, 98 nt
Organism: Lactifluus volemus
Lineage: Eukaryota; Fungi; Basidiomycota; Agaricomycetes; Russulales; Russulaceae
Source: the annotation of a GenBank genome assembly